Molecule: ribosomal RNA, 446 nt
Filed under: uncultured bacterium
Lineage: Bacteria
Description: partial 16S ribosomal RNA
Rfam family: Bacterial small subunit ribosomal RNA
Source: RNAcentral
CCUACGGGACGCAGCAGUCGAGAAUCAUUCACAAUGGGGGAAACCCUGAUGGUGCGACGCCGCGUGGGGGAAUGAAGGUCUUCGGAUUGUAAACCCCUGUCAUGUGGGAGCAAAUUAAAAAGAUAGUACCACAAGAGGAAGAGACUGCUAACUCUGUGCCAGCAGCCGCGGUAAUACAGAGGGCUCAAACGUUGUUCGGAAUCACUGGGCGUAAAGCGUGCGGGGGCUGUUUCGUAAGUCGUGUGUGAACGGCGCGGGCGCAACCCGCGGACGGCACAUGAUACUGCGAGACUAGAGUGAGGGAGGGGGAACCGGAAUUCUCGGUGUAGCAGUGAAAUGCGUAGAUAUCGAGAGGAACACUCGUGGCGAAGGCGGGUUCCUGGACAUUAACUGACGCUGAGGCACGAAGGCCAGGGGAGCGAAAGGGAUUAGAUACCCCAGUAGUC